AAAAUAGAAGAUGAUGAGAUGGUCUCCUUCAUACUCACCGGAUUAGAUGCGGACUAUAAUCCAAUUGUGACUUCGGUUAUGGGAAGGUUGGAUCCAAUUCCCUUGUCUGAAUUAUAUGCCCAAGUAAUGUCGUAUG
Small nucleolar RNA from Setaria italica (foxtail millet), 136 nucleotides. It matches the Rfam family "Small nucleolar RNA Z247". From Rfam's summary of the family: Z247 is a member of the C/D class of snoRNA which contain the C (UGAUGA) and D (CUGA) box motifs. Most of the members of the box C/D family function in directing site-specific 2'-O-methylation of substrate RNAs. NCBI's taxonomy places the organism in Eukaryota, Viridiplantae, Streptophyta, Magnoliopsida, Poales, Poaceae. The record is from Rfam.